Long non-coding RNA from Orcinus orca (killer whale), 598 nucleotides. RefSeq lists it as uncharacterized. The transcript has 3 exons. NCBI's taxonomy places the organism in Eukaryota, Metazoa, Chordata, Mammalia, Artiodactyla, Delphinidae. The record is from RefSeq and is a predicted model, not a curated record.
UGACGAGGGGUCUGGCCGUAGGUUUUUAUCAUGGUUUCCAGUGCUCGUCUCUGAACUGGAUCUUCAACUGCAGAGACAUCCAUUCCAAAAUAUGUCUGAAGAAUAAAAGAAAACGAGAGGUUUCCACAUACAUUGCUGAACCUGACUAGAACCUGGCAGUGAGAAGGCUGUAAUGUGAGGUAUAUCCUUCCAGCCUCCCUCAGCCAACCAGGCAAAGCUGUCAACGGAGGAAGCGGGACAGCUUCACCUCCCCGGCAAGGGGCAGAAGACUGGAUGAGAAACAAAGUCAAGAGCAUGCUUCCUUUGGCCCACUGAGCAGAUCGUAAGAGUUCACAGAAACAGCUAUUGUGUGCUAUAACCUGGAGAAGGAGCAGCGAGAGGAUAGUAACACCGUUGCUCACCUGCUGACUUACCCCUCACAGAGCUACAUGGAUUAACGCUAUCUAUCCUAACUGAAUCUGAGAUCUUUCAACUUUACCCUUCCACCGCUUUAUAUCAUAUUGAAAAACAAGCAGAAAAUCAUUGCCCACUAAUUCCAAUAUUCCAGUUAUCAAAUCUUCAAAUGCAUCAAGUGAGAAAAUAUCUCAAUUGUAAACCU